Molecule: non-coding RNA, 434 nt
Organism: Paramuricea clavata
Lineage: Eukaryota; Metazoa; Cnidaria; Anthozoa; Malacalcyonacea; Plexauridae
Source: the annotation of a GenBank genome assembly
ACCAACAGGGGCGGCGCUACAGGGGGUGUGUGGGGGGGUGGAACACCCCCCCACUCGUCAGCUAAUCGGCAAAUUGUUGUCUCAGUCGGCAAAAGUGGAUUGGGCAGUCGGAAAAUAUUCGAUCAACAGUCGGGCGAUUUUGGUUUGCAAUAAAAAAAAAUCGGACAAAUUAUGUCAAUUUUGUCUAAAAUUAAGUUAAUUUUUUGGAAAAUUUUGUGAUUUUUCGAAAAUAUGUGUUAUGUUACGAAAAAUAUUGGUUGUCCGGAAAAUUUUUUUGACCCCUAAAAUGGUACACUGACCGAAAUUUUUUUGGCGACGGGGGGGGUGAGGUCGGCAAAAUAAUUUGUCCGGAAAAAAUUUUUUGACUCGGCAAAAUUACCAAACAACAGUCGGCAAAAGAUCACUCACACCCCCCCACUCGAAGAGGGUUAGCG